This is a long non-coding RNA of Pogoniulus pusillus (Red-fronted tinkerbird), 2870 nucleotides long. RefSeq lists it as uncharacterized. Lineage: Eukaryota; Metazoa; Chordata; Aves; Piciformes; Lybiidae. The record is from RefSeq and is a predicted model, not a curated record. The transcript is spliced from 10 exons.
CCUUUUCUCAUUCAUAUUAUGCAGCAUUGCCCUUCUCUGUACUUUAUCCUAUUUCAGAGCUGUCAUGCAAACAAACCCAACUAAAAAAAAAUCAUUGAAGAAGUGUGCAUCCUAUCAGCCUUCUGUCUCAGUUCCUGCUCUCACUCUGUGUGCAGGGAGAAAUCUCUUCUCCUGUUUGCCCUCUUUUUUUUCCUCAAUGUUUUCACUCUUUUUCUUAUUUCUGUGAUUCCCCAGGGAGCUCUAGUCUGCUCCUCUAGCCCGCUUAACCCCUACUCACUUCCUCCCCACAUUUAUGUUAAUUACUAUUCCAAGCCCAUGGAGCUACUGUUUUUUAGAGCAUUUUUAUGUUUUCUCCCUUUAUUACUCCAGAAAUAGUAAUUAUCUUUUUCUGUAAAAUCUGUCCUGCCAAGCACACUAUCCUGCUAGGACACCCUCUUUCCUUUGUCUGCCUGACUACAUCCAGAUGAAUUAGCCAGUGCAUCUCCUUCCUCCACCCCUGGAAUAUCUGAUUGAUUUUAACACAAUUUCUUACUCUCAUAUAUCAUCUGAAUCAGCUUUUAAGGAAGACUCAGACAUGAGUCUUCAGCAUGCAUUGACUGUUUGGUUUGAUUUUUUUUUUGUUAUUUGAGUAUGCUUGCCAGUCUACCUUAUCCUAGCAUUCUUCACCAUGCCCAAAAUUUCUGCUCUUGUAGGUCUACCCCAAUUCAUGUCCUUGCUUUUUCAUCAUUUGGUUAUGCUGAACAGUCAUCCUUCUACAAGGUAAGCAGCAUGGGUUUUCAUGAGGUUGUCAUGUUGGCCACAGAAAAGAAGUCCUCUUUAGCAGAGGCUAAACAUGGAGAAAGUGCAUCCAUCUCUGGGGUUCACUGAUGGACAGUUACUGAUGCAAAGGGGAUGUCAGCAGGGAGCAUCAUUUGUUCUUCCUCUCAGCAAGAGUGUAUGGCAUAUAUUUGUUUUCCUGAGCAACAGCAGUAAAUUUAUCUCAAACACAUCUAAAAAGCCUCCCUGAAAGGGGAGGCCACAGAAAAAAAAGAGGAAAAAAACCCACUUAAUUACUAUCCUAGGAAAUGGAAAUAAAAUGGGAUAAGGCUCAAAAGAGCAAAAUGCAGUAGAAUGACAGAGUAUUUUCUUCUUGCUGAAGAUCAAGCUCUUUGUUAGAACUCAGGUGAUGAGCUGGAGAGACUGAGACACACCGAAGCAGGUAUGAGAUAAUAGGUCAAAGCUUUCACCUGUAAUUCUCUGGUAUCCUACAAAGACUCCUGACUGAACCUUAUCCAAAGACAAGUAUGUCUUGGUAGCAAGACAUCAAUUUGUGCUAAAAAUAACUAUUACUUGCUUCACAGGCUCAUGAAAAAGCAUCUCUCUGGAUAGCAAGAGACCAGCAAAUCACAGCUCCUCUGUAGUUUCCACUCAGCCCAGGCACCAGAACAAGUGUGGCUGCAUCUUGAAUGAACCGGAGUUUUUCACAGCACACCUGCUCCCAUUCAUCCAUUCCUGGCUGAACAAAUGUUUUCCUUGAUUAAAGGACUACAGACAGUGUCAGAACACAGUUUUGGCAGAACUGGGGAUCUUCCGAGGUGUGGAGGAGGUGUCUCCUGAGCGUGUGACUGCAGUGAAUCCCAGGGAUGACUGAUGGCCACAUGAUACUGGUGCCAGUGACCUGCGCUGCUGAGAAUCAAUAAGGACUUCAAGCCUGAUUGCUUUGGGGAUUUCUGGCAAUUUCUGAAGAUGUACAAUGGAAUGUGUCAUGUCUUCUCUGAAGAUUAUUUUAUUUCUCCAUGAGAGAAGCAACCAUGUGAAAGAAGACAAAAGAACCUGGAUCCACUAUGUCUAAGGACUCUGGCCUGCCCAGAUUUGGUGAUAAACAAGACCACCACUGACUUCAGCAAGGAAUGAAAUCAAGGAAGAAUUUCAGCUAAAACUGCUCGAAACAGAAGUGCACCUGAGCCUGCAAAGUCACAGAUUGAGCACAGCUCUCAAAAGUCAGAGAAAAUUAUGCACAGAUGUUUGUCGCUAAGAAUGCCUUGGCUGAAUUGGUGUGAUGACACAAAGGAACAGAUGGCACAGAGCUGUCCCUGCUCUUCAGGACAUCAAUGGCUGGAAACAAUGACAAUACCACCCUGGCUCCUUCCAAAUUAUGGAGACCAGCAAACAAAUUAGCCUGACUAGCAGAUCUCAGAAGAGUGUGCUGAAGUCUGCCUUGGACAGCUGUAAAGAUUAUGUGACUAGAGGUCACACUGCUAGUGAAAGAGUCACUAAGAUCUCCUAUAAGUCAGAGUAUACAGCCCUCUCUACCUCAUCCCUUGGGAAGCCUGUUUGUGCCUGUCUCUCUCUCCCAGUUCCAGACUGGAGAGGUGAAGAAAAGCUGCCAUGCCAGCCCCAGGGCUCUUCAGGUGACACGGGGACCUGUGAGAGUUAAAGGAGCCUUGCCUGUUGUACCACGUCCUCCCUCUUCCAAUCUUGAUUGUGCACAUUUGCUUGUGACAUGGGUCUUAAUCCUGAGGUGCUCUAGGAUUAUUUCCUGACCAGUUUCGAAACGGUUUGUAUAUUCUUCAAGAGGCAAUUGUGCAAGGACUCUUGAGAAGAUGCAUCACCACUGAUGUGCAGUUUUACACCCAGGUGUAGAACAAUAUUCCACCAACACCUGUUGAUGACAUAGGGUUUAAAGCACAAACCAUGAAUUAGAGGUUCUUCCAUGUGAACAUUUAGGACAUUUAGCCUACAGCCAGUGCUGCCAAAGUCUGGAUGAAACUGGAAAGACACCCAAGGAGAUGACUGGACAGCUGAUAUCUGGAAAGUGCUGAGUCUCUUGUGAAGCAUGUCUGGCAAAGAUGGCAAUGGAAAUACUGGAAGCUGUUCAGAGGAAGAAUGCU